CGACUCACCCGUCUCCCUCUGCGCGGACUCAUCUGCCCCGAUCCCUCUCGUAAACCCCGAUCCCCAUGAAAUCGCUCCUCUCCUCGCUAUCCCACCGCACAUAUGAAGCCCUAGCGCGCUUCUAGGGUAGGGUUUCUCUCUCUCCCCUACCUCGUCACGCCGCCGCAUGAAACCCUAGCGCGGUGCGGUCUCUCUCUUCCUCCCUCCUCCGCCGCCGCAUGCAACCCUAGCGCGCUAGGGUCUCUCUCUCUCUCUCUCUCUCUCUCAGCAGCGAGGAGGCGGAGGUUGUGGACGGUGCUUCUUGCAAUCUCUGAGCCUUUGAUUCCUCAUCUAACGACGGCUAUUUUCUGAGGGAGAAGUCCGUGAAACUCUACAUUGCUGCAACAUUCUCUGGUCAUGGACAAAUCUAGAUCUCUUCCUCCUCACAUUCGGUGCUACCAGUCGACAUCACUUGACGGGUCAGGACUCAUUGAUUGUUAUUGGGUAGGCAUAUCAGCCAUAUAAUACAUUUUUUUUUUCCUUUCAUGUCUUGGUAGAACAUUGGAGUUUGAUUAACUGGGUUAUAAAUGAUAGAAUCCUUAUGAAGCACACAAUUUUGU
Ananas comosus (pineapple) is the source of this 599-nucleotide long non-coding RNA. RefSeq lists it as uncharacterized. The record is from RefSeq and is a predicted model, not a curated record. NCBI's taxonomy places the organism in Eukaryota, Viridiplantae, Streptophyta, Magnoliopsida, Poales, Bromeliaceae. The transcript has 3 exons.